GCGAACUUCGGGCGAGCAGCCGGGGUAAUACGAAGGGGUCAAGCGUUAAUCGGAAUUAGUGGGCGUAAAGCGUGCGCAGGCGGGUUGUUAAGCGAGAUGUGAAAGCCCUGGGCGCAACCGAGGAAUAGCAUUUCGAACUGGCGAACUAGAGUCUUGUAGAGGGGGGUAGAAUUCCAGGUGUAGCGGUGAAAUGCGUAGAGAUCUGGAGAAAUACCGGUGGCGAAGGCGGCCCCCUGGACAAAGACUGACGCUCAUGCACGAAAGCGUGGGGAGCAAACAGGAUUAGAUACCCUAGUAGUC
RNAcentral lists this ribosomal RNA (300 nucleotides) under uncultured Verrucomicrobium sp. RNAcentral's name for it is "bacterial SSU rRNA". It matches the Rfam family "Bacterial small subunit ribosomal RNA", at positions 496 to 795 of the family's 1533-position model. Lineage: Bacteria; Pseudomonadati; Verrucomicrobiota; Verrucomicrobiia; Verrucomicrobiales; Verrucomicrobiaceae. The record is from RNAcentral.